GGCCCCGCCCACGUCAUGGCGCCCGAGGAGAACGCUGGGACCUAACUCUUGCUGCAGAGUUUGCAGCGCCGCUUUCUGGCGGCGCGCGCGCUGCGCUCCUUCCCCUGGCAGAGCUUAGAAGCAAAAUUAACAGACUCAUCAGAUUCUGAGCUUCUGCGGGAUAUUUUGCAGAAGCCCUCAGGAGGCUCAGUCACACUCUCCUAGAGCACAGCCAUCAUCUCCCAGGCAUCACAGGCCUGGUCACAUGGGAUGCUACCCUCUACCUUGCAGAAUGGGCCAUCGAGAACCCGGCAGCCUUCACUCAUAGGACUGUCCUAGAGCUUGGCAGUGGUGCUGGCCUCACAGCCCUGGCCAUCUGCAAGAUGUGCCGCCCCCGGGCAUACAUCUUCAGCGACUGUCACAGCCGGGUCCUCAAACAGCUCCGAGGGAAUGUCCUUCUCAAUGGCCUCUCAUUAGAGGCAGACAUCACUGCCAACUUAGCCCCAGAGUGACAGUGGCCCAGCUGGACUGGGACAUCGCGAUGGUCCAUCAGCUCUCUGCCAUCCAGCCAGAUGUUGUCAUUGCAGCAGAGACCACAGGAGGAAAACAACCACUUCUGGGAUGAGGACAGGGCCCUUGAGAGAAGGUGGUGUUUGGCUGGGCCGCCAAAAACCCCUCGCCCCUGCCAGCACACUCAGUCUCCUCUCUGGUCGAACAGAGCUGUGCCUGUUGUCCUGGGUCCCAGCCCUGAAAACCACAGGUCCAGCGGUGGCCAGGGACACAGGCCCACCCCUGCAAGCCAGCAGACAAAUCGGCAGACGCCUGAAACACGAAGUUCAUGGCAGGGUCAGGCUUUGUGUCAUUCACAGCCCUCUAGAUAGGCUGAGAACCAGAGCUCGUUUUUUAAGGAACACCAACGUGCUGUAUUGCCCAGAAGCCAUCGUGUUGCUGGUCGGGGUCCUGCUGAGGCUGGCUGCCUGCCGGGAGCACCAGCGGGCUCCUGAGGUCUAUGUGGCCUUUACUGUCCGCAACCCAGAGACAUGCCAGCUGUUCACCACCGAGCUAGGCCAGGCCAGGAUCAGAUGGGAAGUGGAACCUCGUCAUGACCAGAAACUGUUUCCCUAUGAAGAGCACUUGGAGAUGGCAAUGCUGAACCUCACACUGUAGGACUCACACACGACUCCAAUGGGAUUGUGAGAAUCAAGUCACUCUCAAGGGAAGAGGUUUCAUAUGGGAAAGCUGAUAAAACUUUCACUGGACUGGAAUGUUUGGAGAAUGUUAAUUUCCAAAUCAGGAACUACAAACUGCCCUCUAAUAAGACAUCGGCUAUCUAAGCGUGUGGGUGCUCCCUUUCUGCCAGCAGUUCUGGUUCUUAAGGAAAUCGCCAUCACUCAGACAUGAAAACUCUGGCUCCAAAAAUAGCAUUUUCUUUGUGCAAAUAAAAACGUGUGUAUCAA
Long non-coding RNA from Homo sapiens (human), 1436 nucleotides. Ensembl annotates it as family with sequence similarity 86 member J, pseudogene. Its record names the gene FAM86JP. NCBI's taxonomy places the organism in Eukaryota, Metazoa, Chordata, Mammalia, Primates, Hominidae. The record is from Ensembl.